CCUACGGGAGGCAGCAGUGGGGAAUAUUGCACAAUGGGGGAAACCCUGAUGCAGCGACGCCGCGUGAGGGAAGAAGUAUUUCGGUACGUAAAGCUCUAUCAGCAGGGAAGAAAAUGACGGUACCUGACUAAGAAGCCCCGGCGAACUACGUGCCAGCAGCCGCGGUAAUACGUAGGGGGCAAGCGUUAUCCGGAUUUACGGGGUGUAAAGGGAGCGUAGACGGCAGCGCAAGUCUGGAGUGAAAUCCCAUGGCUUAACCAUGGAACUGCUUUGGAAACUGUGCAGCUAGAGUGCAGGAGAGGUAAGCGGAAUUCCUAGUGUAGCGGUGAAAUGCGUAGAUAUUAGGAGGAACACCAGUGUCGAAGGCGGCUUACUGGACUGUAACUGACGUUGAGGCUCGAAAGCGUGGGGAGCAAACAGGAUUAGAUACCCGAGUAGUC
This 440-nucleotide ribosomal RNA is filed under the name uncultured bacterium. RNAcentral describes it as "partial 16S ribosomal RNA". It matches the Rfam family "Bacterial small subunit ribosomal RNA", at positions 338 to 795 of the family's 1533-position model. The record is from RNAcentral.